UCAUCGGUUCUCGUACAAUUUCCGAAGUUAAGCAACGUCGAACCUGGUCAGUACCUAAAUGGGUGACCACUUGGGAAUACCUGGUACUGUAAG
Acanthosepion pharaonis is the source of this 93-nucleotide non-coding RNA. The record is from the annotation of a GenBank genome assembly. NCBI's taxonomy places the organism in Eukaryota, Metazoa, Mollusca, Cephalopoda, Sepiida, Sepiidae.